Molecule: ribosomal RNA, 255 nt
Filed under: uncultured bacterium
Lineage: Bacteria
Description: partial 16S ribosomal RNA
Rfam family: Bacterial small subunit ribosomal RNA
Source: RNAcentral
GCAAGUCGAGGGGUAACAGAGAAAAGCUUGCUUUUUUGCUGACGACCGGCGCACGGGUGCGUAACGCGUAUAGAACCUACCUUUUACUGAGGGAUAGCCUUUAGAAAUGAAGAUUAAUACCUCAUGGCAUCAAAUUUUCGCAUGAUUAUUUGAUUAAAGAUUUAUUGGUAAAAGAUGGCUAUGCGUCCUAUUAGCUAGAUGGUAAGGUAACGGCACACCAAGACAGCGAUAGGUAGGGGCCCUGAGAGGGGGAUC